AUUGAACGCUGGCGGAAUGCUUUACACAUGCAAGUCGAACGGCAGCACGGACUUCGGUCUGGUGGCGAGUGGCGAACGGGUGAGUAAUGUAUCGGAACGUGCCCAGUCGUGGGGGAUAACGUAGUGAAAAUUACGCUAAUACCGCAUACGAUCUAUGGAUGAAAGCGGGGGAUCGCAAGACCUCGCGCGAUUGGAGCGGCCGAUAUCAGAUUAGGUAGUUGGUGGGGUAAAGGCCCACCAAGCCAACGAUCUGUAGCUGGUCUGAGAGGACGACCAGCCACAAUGGAACUGGGGCACGGGCCAGACUCCUACGGGAGGCAGCAGUGGGGAAUUUUGGACAAUGGGCGAAAGCCUGAUCCAGCCAUUACGCGUGCAGGAUGAAGGCCCUCGGGUUGUAAACUGCUUUUGUACAGAACGAAAAGGUUUCUACUAAUACUAGGAGCUCAUGACGGUACUGUAAGAAUAAGCACCGGCUAACUACGUGCCAGCCGCCGCCGUAA
RNAcentral lists this ribosomal RNA (500 nucleotides) under uncultured bacterium. RNAcentral describes it as "partial 16S ribosomal RNA". It matches the Rfam family "Bacterial small subunit ribosomal RNA", at positions 30 to 523 of the family's 1533-position model. The record is from RNAcentral.